Molecule: long non-coding RNA, 572 nt
Organism: Felis catus (domestic cat)
Lineage: Eukaryota; Metazoa; Chordata; Mammalia; Carnivora; Felidae
Exons: 2
Source: RefSeq, a predicted model, not a curated record
AAUGCAACCUAAAAAAAAAAAAAAAAAAAGCACUUAUGAUUAAUGGCACACAAUUUAAUCAAACUCUUACCCUUUCUAACAUUUCAUGAAAAUCUGAAGUGGAAAACCGCCCCUUCUUUUCGUGACUACUAUUGGGGAGAAAACAUAAGAUACGUAAUACAAACUUUCCCCGAAUAUAGACUUAAGGGUGAAAGCUUCUUGGGUGUUGACUUAACAGAACACACACAUGGCAACUGGAAUUUGGAACUGUAUCCUGUAACAAAGAGUUUGACUUUAAAUCUGAUGAGAGUGGGGGAUGUGAUUUGGUCGUUACCUAGGGAGAAAAAAAAAUCCAUUUUAAUAAGGUUGACUUUAAGAGAGAAGGUUGAGGAGAUGAUAAAAAUACGAAAUGUCCAGACUCCACUGGAUUGGAACAGGCCUUCGGUCACACUGGAACCACACCAUUGGCUCUCUCAGGUCUCCAGUUUGCUAGAUGUUCCAGCUUGCCCACUGAAGAUCUUGGACUUCUCAGCUUCCAUAAUUUCACGAGCCAAUUCCUAUUCCGUAUAGUAAAUCAACCUGUGUGUGUGUUA